AUACGUAGGGGGCGAGCGUUGUCCGGAAUGAUUGGGCGUAAAGGGCGCGUAGGCGGCCCGGUAAGUCUGGAGUGAAAGUCCUGUUUUUAAGAUGGGAAUUGCUUUGGAUACUGUCGGGCUUGAGUGCAGGAGAGGUAAGUGGAAUUCCCAGUGUAGCGGUGAAAUGCGUAGAGAUUGGGAGGAACACCAGUGGCGAAGGCGACUUACUGGACUGUAACUGACGCUGAGGCGCGAAAGUGGGGGGAGCAAACAGGAUUAGAUACCCUGGUAGUCCACACUGUAAACGAUGAAUGCUAGGUGUAGGGGGUAUCGACCCCUUCUGUGCCGCAGUCAACACAAUAAGCAUUCCGCCUGGGGAGUACGGCCGCAAGGUUGAAACUCAAAUGAAUUGACGGGG
RNAcentral lists this ribosomal RNA (397 nucleotides) under uncultured bacterium. Its description in RNAcentral is "partial 16S ribosomal RNA". It matches the Rfam family "Bacterial small subunit ribosomal RNA", at positions 523 to 918 of the family's 1533-position model. The record is from RNAcentral.